This 506-nucleotide ribosomal RNA is filed under the name uncultured bacterium. RNAcentral describes it as "partial 16S ribosomal RNA". It matches the Rfam family "Bacterial small subunit ribosomal RNA", at positions 29 to 523 of the family's 1533-position model. The record is from RNAcentral.
AGUGAACACUGGCGGCAGGCCUAACACAUGCAAGUCGAACGGUAACAGGAAACAGCUUGCUGUUUCGCUGACGAGUGGCGGACGGGUGAGUAAUGUCUGGGAAACUGCCUGACGGAGGGGGAUAACUACUGGAAACGGUAGCUAAUACCGCAUAACGUCGCAAGACCAAAGAGGGGGACCUUCGGGCCUCUUGCCAUCGGAUGUGCCCAGAUGGGAUUAGCUAGUAGGGGGGGUAACGGCUCACCUAGGCGACGAUCCCUAGCUGGUCUGAGAGGAUGACCAGCCACACUGGAACUGAGACACGGUCCAGACUCCUACGGGAGGCAGCAUUGGGGAAUAUUGCACAAUGGGCGCAAGCCUGAUGCAGCCAUGCCGCGUGUAUGAAGAAGGCCUUCGGGUUGUAAGUUACUUUCAGCGGGGAGGAAGGGAGUAAAGUUAAUACCUUUGCUCAUUGACGUUACCCGCAGAAGAAGCACCGGCUAACUCCGUGCCAGCCGCCGCAGUAA